This 305-nucleotide ribosomal RNA is filed under the name uncultured bacterium. RNAcentral describes it as "bacterial SSU rRNA". It matches the Rfam family "Bacterial small subunit ribosomal RNA", at positions 333 to 655 of the family's 1533-position model. The record is from RNAcentral.
ACAGGCCUACGGGGGGCAGCAGUGGGGAAUAUUGCACAAUGGGGGAAACCCUGAUGCAGCGACGCCGCGUGAGUGAAGAAGUAUUUCGGUAUGUAAAGCUCUAUCAGCAGGGAAGAAAAUGACGGUACCUGACUAAGAAGCCCCGGCUAACUACGUGCCAGCAGCCGCGGUAAUACGUAGGGGGCAAGCGUUAUCCGGAUUUACUGGGUGUAAAGGGAGCGUAGACGGCAGCGCAAGUCUGAAGUGAAAUGCCGGGGCUCAACCCCGGAACUGCUUUGGAAACUGUACAGCUAGAGUGCAGGAGG